AACGAACGUUAGCGGCGCGCCUAACACAUGCAAGUCGCACGAGAAAGGGCUUCGGCCCCGGUAAAGUGGCGCACGGGUGAGUAACACGUGGGUAAUCUUCCCUCGAGCGGGGGAUAACAUUCCGAAAGGAGUGCUAAUACCGCAUAAGACCACGUCCUCGAAAGAGGAUGCGGUCAAAGCUGGCCUCUAUAUAUAAGCUAGCACUUGAGGAUGAGCCCGCGGCCCAUCAGGCAGUUGGCAGGGUAAUGGCCUACCAAACCUAAGACGGGU
Molecule: ribosomal RNA, 270 nt
Filed under: uncultured bacterium
Lineage: Bacteria
Description: partial 16S ribosomal RNA
Rfam family: Bacterial small subunit ribosomal RNA
Source: RNAcentral